Molecule: ribosomal RNA, 464 nt
Filed under: uncultured bacterium
Lineage: Bacteria
Description: partial 16S ribosomal RNA
Rfam family: Bacterial small subunit ribosomal RNA
Source: RNAcentral
CUACGGGCGGCUCCAGUGGGGAAUAUUGCACAAUGGGCGCAAGCCUGAUGCAGCCAUGCCGCGUGUAUGAAGAAGGCCUUCGGGUUGUAAAGUACUUUCAGCGGGGAGGAAGGGAGUAAAGCUAAUACCUUUGCUCAUUGACGUUACCCGCAGAAGAAGCACCGGCUAACUCCGUGCCAGCAGCCGCGGUAAUACGGAGGGUGCAAUCGUUAAUCGGAAUUACUGGGCGUAAAGCGCACGCAGGCGGUUUGUUAAGUCAGAUGUGAAAUCCCCGGGCUCAACCUGGGAACUGCAUCUGAUACUGGCAAGCUUGAGUCUCGUAGAGGGGGGUAGAAUUCCAGGUGUAGCGGUGAAAUGCGUAGAGAUCUGGAGGAAUACCGGUGGCGAAGGCGGCCCCCUGGACGAAGACUGACGCUCAGGUGCGAAAGCGUGGGGAGCAAACAGGAUUAGAUACCCGAGUAGUC